CUCCAGGAAAUACUGGAUCUGUUGCUUGUGGCUGUCGUUCCCCCUCCGUCUCCGCUCUCUCUCCCUCAUUGGUGGAGGGACGACUGCUCUGCACCUUCUCCGGUUCUCCCUUUUUUUUCCCUUCCCAGUAACUCCGCUGGUUCCUCUGGAGCAGACGGCUCAGUGGAGGCAGCGUACAUCAUUACCCAGAAUGCAACAGGUGUGAGACGUCCUGCUGAAGUCACCUCUACACCUCAUCUAUGUUCCGGCCAAUCCCCACGUCCUUCUCUCAGGCGCCAUAGCAACCGCACAGAUGGAGCCGUCUCCAGCUGCUGCCUGGAGGUGACCAGUCAAGGAUUCUGGGUGUGUUGAGUGGACUCGACGCCCUGCAGGUGCUUUCAGAGAGUUCGGGACCCCAGAACAAACCCGGUUCAUCAGUUUGUCAUCUGACGGGAAGCAACCUGCUUCUCACCAUGUAGCCGCGACAACCUGCGGAAACGUUCCUCUGAGCCAGGCUGAUUACAACACGCUGAGCUCAGCAGUUGCACCAGCAGACACACACACACAGAACGCGUCAGGUCAUUAGCAGCUGCAGAACUUCCUGUUUCAUCUUUGAGUUCUGCGUAAUCAUCGUUUUAAUUAACGGCGACGGCGGCAUGAACCACCCCCUCAACACCCCUCCCACGGCGCCACACAAACCUGAGAGCAAUUAGUGACAGUGGACCUAGAUGGAGGGUGGACGCGGACAGACCAGACGAUGAAACGACAAUAGUAGAAGAAGAAAAGAGCAUCGGCCAGUCAGAGGGAGGGGCAGGGGGCGGGGCUACGGAGAUGGCGAGACAGGGACAGACCCCUGGGAGAAGGAGCUGCUGUGGGUUGACUGACAGGUGCUGGAACACCGUUCUUGGACCGAUUGGAGGAACGAUUCUCUCCACCAUCGUCGGGCAUCUGAGGCCCGAGUGAGACGGCGGCGGAGGCCAUCAUCUCUGUCCCUGCUAAACUUUUUUCUCAGAACAAACCUGGGACUUCCUGCCUCGGUGGAGAACUUUCUCAGCUGUCGUUCCAGUCUGGAUGCGUCUCACCUGUCUCACAUUAAAGACAAACACACGGGAGGACUGAAGCUGGACCGCUGACCUGACCUGGAUCCACCUGAGACCAGGUCCAUAUCAGCUCCUGGGGUCGUCUUCUUUCUGUGAGUACUUCUGGGACUCCUUGAGUCUUUUCUUUGAUCUCCUCAGCUUAGCUUGAGCUGUUUUAUCUUCUGUCAUCUUGGAUUUACGGGGUUCUGGAUGUUUAGUCUGUCUUCUUCUAUGGUUUGAUGUGAUUCUCUUUUGUUGAGUUGAAUUUCCACAUUAUUGAUAAAAUAGUCCUAAUACAUGCCU
Molecule: long non-coding RNA, 1361 nt
Filed under: Takifugu rubripes (torafugu)
Lineage: Eukaryota; Metazoa; Chordata; Actinopteri; Tetraodontiformes; Tetraodontidae
Description: lncRNA (ENSTRUG00000026533.1)
Source: RNAcentral